AAUAUUGACAAUUUGAUCAACAGGUAUAAUUCUUUAAUUGUUCCUUUGGAACUAUGGCGAUAAACGUGCUCGAAAUAAACGGAUCGGACCCGGGGGCGGUACCCGGCGGCUCCACCAUGAUGAUAGGGGGCCGAAAUAGGAUCGACGAACGCGUAAAGGGGUUAACUUUCGCCCGGUGGGGUACCGCUGUUAUCGGUCCAAAUUGCACAAUUGCCAAUGACAAUCGUGCUCCGAUCGCUCUUGCUGCGUGAGCCGUAAGAUAAUCGGGUCUGACUCUGGGAUUCAAUAGCACAAUCCCAGCGGGGUUUGGCGGGUACCUGGCAACAGAAACCUGCCACU
RNAcentral lists this transfer-messenger RNA (339 nucleotides) under Paracoccaceae bacterium. Its description in RNAcentral is "Rhodobacteraceae bacterium transfer-messenger RNA". It matches the Rfam family "Alphaproteobacteria transfer-messenger RNA". Rfam says of the family: Bacterial tmRNA, also known as 10Sa RNA or SsrA, is named for its dual tRNA and mRNA-like properties. The record is from RNAcentral. Lineage: Bacteria; Pseudomonadati; Pseudomonadota; Alphaproteobacteria; Rhodobacterales; Paracoccaceae.